AGGACGAACGCUGGCGGCGUGCUUAACACAUGCAAGUCGAACGGAAAGGCCCUUUCGGGGGUACUCGAGUGGCGAACGGGUGAGUAACACGUGGGUGAUCUGCCCUGCACUUUGGGAUAAGCCUGGGAAACUGGGUCUAAUACCGAAUACACCUUGCUGGCUGCAUGGCCUGGUGGGGGAAAGCUUUUGCGGUGUGGGAUGGGCCCGCGGCCUAUCAGCUUGUUGGUGGGGUGAUGGCCUACCAAGGCGACGACGGGUAGCCGGCCUGAGAGGGUGUCCGGCCACACUGGGACUGAGAUACGGCCCAGACUCCUACGGGAGGCAGCAGUGGGGAAUAUUGCACAAUGGGCGCAAGCCUGAUGCAGCGACGCCGCGUGAGGGAUGACGGCCUUCGGGUUGUAACCUCUUUCAGUAUCGACGAAGCGCAAGUGACGGUAGGUACAGAAGAAGCACCGGCCAACUACGCGCCAGCAGCCGC
RNAcentral lists this ribosomal RNA (478 nucleotides) under uncultured bacterium. Its description in RNAcentral is "SSU rRNA". It matches the Rfam family "Bacterial small subunit ribosomal RNA", at positions 26 to 518 of the family's 1533-position model. The record is from RNAcentral.